Molecule: transfer RNA, 105 nt
Filed under: Candidatus Heimdallarchaeota archaeon
Lineage: Archaea; Promethearchaeati; Candidatus Heimdallarchaeota
Description: tRNA-Lys
Rfam family: tRNA
About the family: Transfer RNA (tRNA) molecules are approximately 80 nucleotides in length. Their secondary structure includes four short double-helical elements and three loops (D, anti-codon, and T loops).
Source: RNAcentral
GGGCGCAUAGCUCAGCAAGGUAGAGCGGCGGGCUCUUAACCCGUUGGUCAACUUGAAUCAAGUGUGCUUCAAGUCUGAAAGGGGGUUCAAGUCCCUCUGCGCCCG